This is a non-coding RNA of Otolemur garnettii (small-eared galago), 74 nucleotides long. The record is from the annotation of a RefSeq genome assembly. Lineage: Eukaryota; Metazoa; Chordata; Mammalia; Primates; Galagidae.
GCUCCUGUGGCGCAAUUGAUUAGCGCAUGGCAUUUAUAUUGCCAAGGCUGUGAGUUCAAAUCUCACCUGGAGCA